This 253-nucleotide ribosomal RNA is filed under the name uncultured bacterium. Its description in RNAcentral is "partial 16S ribosomal RNA". It matches the Rfam family "Bacterial small subunit ribosomal RNA", at positions 524 to 776 of the family's 1533-position model. The record is from RNAcentral.
GACAGAGGGUGCAAACGUUGUUCGGAAUUACUGGGCGUAAAGCGCGUGUAGGCGGCCCUGCAAGUCGGGUGUGAAAUCCCAUGGCUCAACUAUGGAAGUGCAUUCGAAACUGCAGGGCUAGAGUCCUGGAGAGGAAGGUGGAAUGCUUGGUGUAGAGGUGAAAUUCGUAGAUAUCAAGCGGAACACCGGUGGCGAAGGCGGCCUUCUGGACAGUGACUGACGCUGAGACGCGAAAGCGUGGGGAGCAAACAGG